This is a long non-coding RNA of Dreissena polymorpha, 1153 nucleotides long. RefSeq lists it as uncharacterized. Lineage: Eukaryota; Metazoa; Mollusca; Bivalvia; Myida; Dreissenidae. The transcript is spliced from 4 exons. The record is from RefSeq and is a predicted model, not a curated record.
CUGGGAUAUGGGGCUUCAUGUAUGUGCUUAAAGUGUCAUCCCAGACUAGCCUGUGCAGAUUGCACAUACAUUAAGUCCUAUUAAAUUGUCAUCCCAGAUAAGCCUGUGCAGAUUGCACAUACAGUAAGUCCUAUUAAAGUGUCAUCCCAGAAUAUCCUGUGCAGACUGCACAUACAUUAAGUCCUAUUGUUUCCCAGAAUGUGGCUCAUAUAGUUCACUUUACAUCAGUAUUUUCCGUUGUCUGCCUGAUUGAGGAAAAGUUCAUAGCAUCAAAUGGGAAUUCUGUGUCUUUAUAUUGAUCAAACUUGGUAAAUGAAUGCAAAUAACACUGGAUUUAAUAUAAGUUUUAAUCUUAGUAUGUCAGGGCAUAGUUUGUCUAUUUUGCGGCCGAAAUUCAGCUCCUGAACCAAAAGUUUCUCCAUGCAUGAAAACUUUUCUAUUCCAUUUUAGUAAAACAAUUAUUUAAAUGCUUUCAGUACAUUAUAAAAUUAUUGUCUUCAUUAUUUUUCGAUAUUUAUUUAAAUUCUUGGAAUCUGUUUUAAGAGCCGGUUCCUACAGGACCCGAUGCACUGAUUAUGCACAUGUGACUCUUGUACGCAGCUGAAUAAAAGGCUCUCUGGUCAGCUGGACCCAGACGCCAAGGGACACUUCCUGCCCAAGUACCGUGAGGCAAAUGCUCAAUGAGUUCUACCCGAAGUGUGCAGCGUCUCUAGACCUGUGGCUCCAGACUGUCUUACCCAGGGGCCAAGAUUACUUUAUCUGCAAGAUGCCUCAUACUCACAGGUUCCCCAACUACAACUCAGCCACAACAUCCUAAUCGGAAAGUCCUGUUGCCAUGGCAAAACGGGACAACUUGUCAAUCAACAUGGAACAGUACCCUGAAAAUCACGACCAUCUAAAGAACUGUGUAACUGUGCCAAGCGUGACCCUUUAGAGAAAGGGGCUUCCAUGCCGAAGGUCAAAUUGUGGCCGUUGUUCAGUGUCAAGCGAAAUCCUAGCAACCAAGCCACGUCAGCACAGCAGCAAAAACAGUUUCAGCAGCAGUCGUAUACUAAACAUCAACAACAGUGGUGCAUAUGCAUUAAACUACGAGAGGUAUGAAUGCAAAUAUGUCUGUAUGAUAUUAGUAUAUUCUCAACCAUUUAAUAUUAAC